RNAcentral lists this ribosomal RNA (489 nucleotides) under uncultured bacterium. Its description in RNAcentral is "partial 16S ribosomal RNA". It matches the Rfam family "Bacterial small subunit ribosomal RNA", at positions 30 to 507 of the family's 1533-position model. The record is from RNAcentral.
AUUGAACGCUGGCGGCAGGCUUAACACAUGCAAGUCGAGCGGUAGCACAGGGGAGCUUGCUCCCUGGGUGACGAGCGGCGGACGGGUGAGUAAUGUCUGGGAAACUGCCUGAUGGAGGGGGAUACUACUGGAAACGGUAGCUAAUACCGCAUAACGUCGCAAGACCAAAGAGGGGGACCUUCGGGCCUCUUGCCAUCAGAUGUGCCCAGAUGGGAUUAGCUAGUAGGUGGGGUAAUGGCUCACCUAGGCGACGAUCCCUAGCUGGUCUGAGAGGAUGACCAGCCACACUGGAACUGAGACACGGUCCAGACUCCUACGGGAGGCAGCAGUGGGGAAUAUUGCACAAUGGGCGCAAGCCUGAUGCAGCCAUGCCGCGUGUGUGAAGAAGGCCUUCGGGUUGUAAAGCACUUUCAGCGAGGAGGAAGGUGGUGAGCUUAAUACGUUCAUCAAUUGACGUUACUCGCAGAAGAAGCACCGGCUAACUCCGUG